RNA transcript from Populus nigra (black poplar), 876 nucleotides. It is a transcript of the gene named ribosome-binding factor PSRP1, chloroplastic-like, with no coding region annotated. The transcript is spliced from 3 exons. NCBI's taxonomy places the organism in Eukaryota, Viridiplantae, Streptophyta, Magnoliopsida, Malpighiales, Salicaceae. The record is from RefSeq and is a predicted model, not a curated record.
CCAGCAAUCCAAACAACCCUCAUUAGAAAAUUUGCCAGUGGCUUCUCUCUUAGGUUCGUUGCAAACAAGCCAUUAUCAUCAACAACUCCUACUACUUCACUAGCUUCUUCUUUGGUGCAUUCCACAAAGAUCCACUCCCCAAAAGUGUCUCUAAAGUCCAGUUUUUUAAUGCAAAAAACGUGAAAAUUAUUGAAACUUGAAGGAAAACAAAGAUCCCUUCGAGCCAUGGUGGAUACUCAGUGAAGAUGUCAUGGGAUCUUCCUCCUCCCUCUGUCAAAUUAAUCAUUCAUGGAAAAAACUUGAAGUCAUGGGGUGGUGAGGGCAGAGGAAGAUGCUGAGAAAUCUAAGCAAGUAUUGAUUUGGUGUCGUCAAUUAUUCAACAAGUUGAGGAAGAUUAAGGACAAGGAGUCUGAUCAUGGUAGACACAUGAAAGGAUUUGAUAAGUUGAAGGUUAGGGAGCCAAUGUCACAAGUGUUGGAGAAUGAUGACGACUAUCUUGAUGAGGCUGUUCACACAAAGUACUUUCACAUCCCACCUCUGGCUAUCGAUGAAGCAAUCGCGCAGCUGGGAAAUGUGGAUCAUGUCUUCUAUGGUUUCAGGCAUGCUUAAAGGGCAAGAUACUGAAUUUGAGAUCAAGUGAACUCAAACUAAUGAGAUUUAUUAGCAUGCUUGUAUGAGUUCUUAGUUCAUGGAAAAUCAGAGCCACUAUGUUGGCGUCCAAACUUUCAGGGAUGAGAAAAAAGAAUUUUGUAAUCACUAUUCAAUUUAUAUUAGAUCGAAACUUCUGUUCAUGUGGUGUCUAGUAUUGACCCGUUCCCAUUUCCCUUGGAUUUUCGCUGUGUUUUCUGUUUAGAAAUUCAGCUGUUUUUCCUCUUA